Molecule: ribosomal RNA, 523 nt
Filed under: Opisthacidius nr. mexicanus 00004576
Lineage: Eukaryota; Metazoa; Arthropoda; Insecta; Hemiptera; Reduviidae
Description: partial 16S ribosomal RNA
Rfam family: Bacterial large subunit ribosomal RNA
Source: RNAcentral
AACAUGUCCUUUAGGUAUUUAUUUAAGGUCUGACCUGCCCAAUGAGGAAUUCAAUGGCCGCGGUAUUCUAACCGUGCUAAGGUAGCAUAAUCAUUUGUCUUUUAAUUGAGGGCUGGAAUGAAAGGUUGGACGAGGUAUCAUCUUUCUUUAAUUUAAUUAAUAGAACUUAAUUUUUGAGUCAAAAAGCUUAAAUUUUUUUAUUAGACGAGAAGACCCUAUAGAUCUUUACAGUCUUAGUAUUCAGGUAAUUUAGGGGUUUAUUUAUUUUGAUUAUUAUGAUUGUUUUGUUGGGGUGACAUUGGAAUAUUUUUAGCUUCCAUUUUUCUUUUUCAUUAAUUAGUGUUUUAGUGAUCCAUAAUUUAUGAUUAUAAGAUUAAGUUACCUUAGGGAUAACAGCGUAAUUUCUUCGGAGAGUUCAUAUCGAUGAUGAAGUUUGCGACCUCGAUGUUGGAUUAAAAUUAGGGGCAGAUGUAGCAGUCUGUUUACUGGGUCUGUUCGACCCUUAAAUUUUUACAUGAUCUGA